GUUUCAGGGCGAGGUGUGAUUCCUCACCGGCGGUGAAAGUCCGCGAGCCGAGCUUCGGCUGAACCGGUGAAAUUCCGGUACCGACGGUAUAGUCCGGAUGGAAGAAA
RNAcentral lists this non-coding RNA (107 nucleotides) under bovine gut metagenome. RNAcentral's name for it is "FMN riboswitch (RFN element)". It matches the Rfam family "FMN riboswitch aptamer (RFN element)". From Rfam's summary of the family: The RFN element is a highly conserved domain that is found frequently in the 5'-untranslated regions of prokaryotic mRNAs that encode for flavin mononucleotide (FMN) biosynthesis and transport proteins. This element is a metabolite-dependent riboswitch that directly binds FMN in the absence of proteins. The record is from RNAcentral.